GACGAACGCUGGCGGCGUGCUUAACACAUGCAAGUCGAACGGAAAGGCCCUGCUUUUGUGGGGUGCUCGAGUGGCGAACGGGUGAGUAACACGUGAGUAACCUGCCCUUGACUUUGGGAUAACUUCAGGAAACUGGGGCUAAUACCGGAUAGGAGCUCCUGCUGCAUGGUGGGGGUUGGAAAGUUUCGGCGGUUGGGGAUGGACUCGCGGCUUAUCAGCUUGUUGGUGGGGUAGUGGCUUACCAAGGCUUUGACGGGUAGCCGGCCUGGGAGGGUGACCGGCCACAUUGGGACUGCGAUACGGCCCAGACUCCUACGGGAGGCAGCAGUGGGGAAUAUUGCACAAUGGGCGGAAGCCUGAUGCAGCAGCGCCGCGUGCGGGAUGACGGCCUUCGGGUUGUAAACCGCUUUCGCCUGUGACGAAGCGUGAGUGACGGUAAUGGGUAAAGAAGCACCGGCUAACUACGUG
Molecule: ribosomal RNA, 468 nt
Filed under: uncultured bacterium
Lineage: Bacteria
Description: partial 16S ribosomal RNA
Rfam family: Bacterial small subunit ribosomal RNA
Source: RNAcentral